RNAcentral lists this small RNA (178 nucleotides) under Dasypus novemcinctus (nine-banded armadillo). Its description in RNAcentral is "TUC338 (ENSDNOG00000046460.1)". Lineage: Eukaryota; Metazoa; Chordata; Mammalia; Cingulata; Dasypodidae. The record is from RNAcentral.
UAGGUGUCCCAAGAGACUAUCUCUCCUUCCUUCUUCAUACCCCAGGAAUAAGACAGGCAUUUGCUAUAUGCACUUAUCCCACACAAAGCUUGAACUGUGCUUCAACUUUGUACUAAAGAGGCCACCCCUAGUGAUGAGAAGGACUUUGUCCUUCACGGCAAUUUCAUUCUUGGCUUUU